RNAcentral lists this ribosomal RNA (671 nucleotides) under actinobacterium X18. Its description in RNAcentral is "bacterial SSU rRNA". It matches the Rfam family "Bacterial small subunit ribosomal RNA", at positions 79 to 764 of the family's 1533-position model. Lineage: Bacteria; Bacillati; Actinomycetota; Actinomycetes. The record is from RNAcentral.
UUGCUCUGGUGGAUUAGUGGCGAACGGGUGAGUAACACGUGAGCAACCUGCCCCUGACUCUGGGAUAAUCGCUGGAAACGGCGUCUAAUACUGGAUAUGUCCCAUCACCGCAUGGUGUGUGGGUGGAAAGAUUUAUCGGUUGGGGAUGGGCUCGCGGCCUAUCAGCUUGUUGGUGAGGUAAUGGCUCACCAAGGCGUCGACGGGUAGCCGGCCUGAGAGGGUGACCGGCCACACUGGGACUGAGACACGGCCCAGACUCCUACGGGAGGCAGCAGUGGGGAAUAUUGCACAAUGGGCGAAAGCCUGAUGCGCAACGCCGCGUGAGGGAUGACGGCCUUCGGGUUGUAAACCUCUUUUAGCAGGGAAGAAGCGAAAGUGACGGUACCUGCAGAAAAAGCACCGGCUAACUACGUGCCAGCAGCCGCGGUAAUACGUAGGGUGCAAGCGUUAUCCGGAAUUAUUGGGCGUAAAAAGCUCGUAGGCGGUCUGUCGCGUCUGCUGUGAAAUCCCGAGGCUCAACCUCGGGCUUGCAGUGGUUACGGGCAGACUACAGUGCGGUAGGGGAGAUUGAAAUUCCUGGUGUAGCGAUGGAAUGCUCAGAUAUCAAGAGGAACACCGAUGGCGAAGGCAGAUCUCUGGGCCGUAACUGACGCUGAGGAGCAAAAGGGUGG